RNAcentral lists this ribosomal RNA (492 nucleotides) under uncultured bacterium. RNAcentral's name for it is "partial 16S ribosomal RNA". It matches the Rfam family "Bacterial small subunit ribosomal RNA", at positions 29 to 507 of the family's 1533-position model. The record is from RNAcentral.
AGUGAACGCUGGCGGUAGGCCUAACACAUGCAAGUCGAACGGCAGCACAGUAAGAGCUUGCUCUUACGGGUGGCGAGUGGCGGACGGGUGAGGAAUACAUCGGAAUCUACUUUUUCGUGGGGGAUAACGUAGGGAAACUUACGCUAAUACCGCAUACGACCUACGGGUGAAAGCAGGGGAUCUUCGGACCUUGCGCGAUUGAAUGAGCCGAUGUCGGAUUAGCUAGUUGGCGGGGUAAAGGCCCACCAAGGCGACGAUCCGUAGCUGGUCUGAGAGGAUGAUCAGCCACACUGGAACUGAGACACGGUCCAGACUCCUACGGGAGGCAGCAGUGGGGAAUAUUGGACAAAGGGCGCAAGCCUGAUCCAGCCAUACCGCGUGGGUGAAGAAGGCCUUGGGGUUGUAAAGCCCUUUUGUUGGGAAAGAAAAGCAGCAGGUUAAUACCCCGCUGUUCUGACGGUACCCAAAGAAUAAGCACCGGCUAACUUCGUG